CUGCAUUUCACACAGGUCAAUAUCAUCACUUGAAGGAACAAGCCAGAUGGACCAACUCUUCAUCUUUCUUUUCAUCUGGAAAGCUUAUGCAACUGAUAGAUCACCAACCCCAUCAGUCAAUCAGAACCAAGACAGUGACGUGGUAAACUAUGCAGCUGUGAGUUUCACCACCAAGAAAAGCCCCUCCUCCAGAAGAGAGAGUGCCCAGACCAGCAGAGAGGAUGCAGAGUACUCUGAGGUCAGGUACCUUCAGCAGGAGUGAGAUAUGGGAAGAACCUCACCACAUUGAACGGAAACCACAUCCAUUUACAAUAGAGAUAACUUUGAAGGCAUUGUGAUGACUGGUAAAACAACUGCUUUUAGUAUGUAAAUAAUAGCUAAAUAAAAUAGGAAAUAGCUCUACUUGUAACCUGGAGAAGAAACAUGUAUUAGAAUAUUCGAUGAGUAGGCUUUCAUUGUUUCUCCAAUGUCUUAAAUAUGCAAAUUACCUCUUAACUGAAUAAAUGUUGGUGAUCAAAAA
Non-coding RNA from Oncorhynchus mykiss (rainbow trout), 520 nucleotides. The record is from RefSeq and is a predicted model, not a curated record. NCBI's taxonomy places the organism in Eukaryota, Metazoa, Chordata, Actinopteri, Salmoniformes, Salmonidae.